RNAcentral lists this ribosomal RNA (484 nucleotides) under uncultured bacterium. RNAcentral's name for it is "partial 16S ribosomal RNA". It matches the Rfam family "Bacterial small subunit ribosomal RNA", at positions 30 to 507 of the family's 1533-position model. The record is from RNAcentral.
AUUGAACGCUGGCGGAAUGCUUUACACAUGCAAGUCGAACGGCGGCACGGGGGCAGCCCUGGUGGCGAGUGGCGAACGGGUGAGUAAUACAUCGGAACGUGCCCGGUCGUGGGGGAUAACGUAGCGAAAGUUACGCUAAUACCGCAUACGAUCUGAGGAUGAAAGCGGGGGACCUUCGGGCCUCGCGCGAUCGGAGCGGCCGAUGUCAGAUUAGGUAGUUGGUGGGGUAAAGGCCUACCAAGCCGACGAUCUGUAGCUGGUCUGAGAGGACGACCAGCCACACUGGGACUGAGACACGGCCCAGACUCCUACGGGAGGCAGCAGUGGGGAAUUUUGGACAAUGGGCGCAAGCCUGAUCCAGCCAUUCCGCGUGCAGGACGAAGGCCUUCGGGUUGUAAACUGCUUUUGUACGGAACGAAAAGGCUCUGGCUAAUACCUGGGGCUCAUGACGGUACCGUAAGAAUAAGCACCGGCUAACUACGUG